CUACGUGUGGCAGCAGUGGGGAAUAUUGGACAAUGGGCGAAAGCCUGAUCCAGCCAUGCCGCGUGUGUGAAGAAGGCCUUCGGGUUGUAAAGCACUUUCAGUGGGGAAGAAAGCCUUGGGGCUAAUACCCUCGAGGAAGGACAUCACCCACAGAAGAAGCACCGGCUAACUCCGUGCCAGCAGCCGCGGUAAUACGGAGGGUGCGAGCGUUAAUCGGAAUUACUGGGCGUAAAGCGCGCGUAGGCGGUCUGAUAAGCCGGUUGUGAAAGCCCCGGGCUCAACCUGGGAACGGCAUCCGGAACUGUCAGGCUAGAGUGCAGGAGAGGAAGGUAGAAUUCCCGGUGUAGCGGUGAAAUGCGUAGAGAUCGGGAGGAAUACCAGUGGCGAAGGCGGCCUUCUGGACUGACACUGACGCUGAGGUGCGAAAGCGUGGGUAGCAAACAGGAUUAGAUACCCUUGUAGUC
RNAcentral lists this ribosomal RNA (464 nucleotides) under Vreelandella stevensii. RNAcentral's name for it is "partial 16S ribosomal RNA". It matches the Rfam family "Bacterial small subunit ribosomal RNA", at positions 339 to 795 of the family's 1533-position model. Lineage: Bacteria; Pseudomonadati; Pseudomonadota; Gammaproteobacteria; Oceanospirillales; Halomonadaceae. The record is from RNAcentral.